RNAcentral lists this ribosomal RNA (447 nucleotides) under Triticum aestivum (bread wheat). RNAcentral's name for it is "partial small subunit ribosomal RNA". The record is from RNAcentral. Lineage: Eukaryota; Viridiplantae; Streptophyta; Magnoliopsida; Poales; Poaceae.
AUGAACACGGCUUACAUCUCCCUCCUGCCUAAGAAAGAAACUUCGCUUGAUUUGCGCGACUAUCGGCCCAUUUCUAUCGUGCACAGCGUGCCUAAGCUUGGCACUAGAGUUCUUGCAAGGAGGCUUCAACACCGCAUACCAGAGUUGAUCCACUCACUCCAGUCUGGCUUCGCCAAAGGCCGAUCAAUUGUUGAAAAUUUUGUCAUGGCUGUAGACAUGGUACAAACUGCUCACAGGAGGAAGCUUCCUAUGGUGGUCCUUAAGCUAGAUUUUCAGAAGGCCUUUGACACAGUUAGCUGGUCUGCUCUGUUUAGUAUUAUGGAGCCUCGAGGUUUCCCGCAAAGGUGGAUCACCUGGAUCCAUAAUUUUCUGACCACGACAACUUCUCGGGUUAUGGUUAACGGGGAGCUUGGCGACUCCAUUCUUGCCAAAAGAGGGCUGCGGUAG